Molecule: unclassified non-coding RNA, 253 nt
Filed under: uncultured Sphingomonadaceae bacterium
Lineage: Bacteria; Pseudomonadati; Pseudomonadota; Alphaproteobacteria; Sphingomonadales; Sphingomonadaceae
Description: contains 16S-23S intergenic spacer region
Rfam family: Bacterial small subunit ribosomal RNA
Source: RNAcentral
UACGAAGGGGGCAAGCGUUGUUCGGAAUUACUGGGCGUAAAGCGCGCGUAGGCGGCCUUGUAAGUUAGAGGUGAAAGCCCGGGGCUCAACCACGGAACUGCCUUUAAGACUGCAAGACUAGAAUCCGGGAGAGGUAAGCGGAAUUCCGAGUGUAGAGGUGAAAUUCGUAGAUAUUCGGAAGAACACCAGUGGCGAAGGCGGCUUACUGGACCGGUAUUGACGCUGAGGUGCGAAAGCGUGGGGCGCAAACAGG